UUUUCUUUCUCUUUCCGCGUUCUCAGCUCUUUCUCUUUCCUCUAUCUCGCGUUCUCUCUUUCCUCUCUCCACCGUGCCGUCGUCCAUUCCUCCCGCUUCCCUCUAUUCAUGUCCUAGCAACGGCGGCAGUGGCGCUAGGAGCUGAUACAAACCCACCUCUCGUCGUUUCCCCCUCGCGAAAUGAUUUUCCCUGAAGUGGAGCGAACCUGGGUACGGGAUUUAACUCGGGUAUUGAGGCCAUGUGAAGGUUGGGUAUGGUAAUGAGUUUGAUGACGAUGAGGUGUUGAGCUUUUGUCUGACUCAUACCCCUACAAGGAACUCUUCAAUGGAUGCCUUUGGGACGUAGAUGGAAAGUGGACUGUUAAAGGUGGUGUUGAUGUCAACAUUAGUGCCAACCCUUAUGCUGAAAAAUGGGUAAACGUCUCAAGGAAUAAAUAGUAAUGUCUAAGGGGGUUGUAUGAAGAUAUGUUGAAUUCACUCAGAUGUUACCAAGCUAAGGAUUCUGUUCUGAAUUUUAAAUCUGCUGUUAAUGUUCCUCUGUUGUCUCUGAAUGAGGCUUUGUUUUGUUUGAAAUCCUAAAUCUGAUGCAAGGUCUAAGGGGGUUGUUUUGUUUGAAAUAAUGAUGAUGAUUUUGCUACUUGGAUUUGAAAAAGAUCUCGAAAAGAUGCAAUGUUUUAUUGUUUUGGUUGUAAUGAUGAUUUUGCAGCUCGAAUUAGAUAAUAUAUCAAUAGUUGUUGUCGUUAGCUACUUUUUUUCGGGAGCUAUAUAUAGAGUGAGAGGGUGGGAGGUGGAGGUUUGGCUUCUACUUGAAUUUUUUUCAAACUGAUGAAUAUUGCACUUGUACAUUAGCAGUAUAUGGAAUGAAGUGCUCAAAUGUGUUAUGAGUCUCUUUCAACAUUCUGUCAAUUUGGGCCCUGUGAUGUCUCUUGAAUCUUUAUUGCUCAUAAUGUGCAGUGGACAUGUUUAGUUCUGCUUUGAAAAAUUGAGUCUGCAUGUCUAGCACCAGGUCUCCUUGUUUAUUGGCUAUUUAAAGAUGUGUAGUGGCUGUCCCUUCCAGCCUUCCUGCUUUUUACAUAAGAAAUCAUGAAAUUUCUUUUGCCUUUUGUUUAGUUGUUUGUGCAUGGAUGGAGUUGCUAGUUACUUUCAAUAUCUAAUCUCUUUGAAAGUGCACACCUGUCUUCUGCCCUUUUAAUGCAUAAAUCCUAAUGAUCUGAUGUACAGAAUUUAUCUUAUGCAUUAUGCAUAUUUUAUUUUUAAUUAUUUUACCCUCAGCUUGUAGAUCCUAAUGUUUUUAAUUACUUUUACAAAAUGCAUAUCCUUGACCUCUUUGAAUUUUGAUUAAUAAUUUACUUAUCUUAUGUUGAAGUUCCUGAGAUUUGGUCACAUUUCCUUUUCUUUGUAUAUAUCUUAGACAUGGCUAAAUUAGACCUUUCUAGACUACCUUUGAGAUGAUUUCAAUCAUAUUUUAGAACAAAGUUAAUGAUAGGUAAAUUUAGAGAAGUUAAGUCCAUUGAAAUAGAUUUUUAAAAUCAAAAGUUAACAUAUAUGUAGAUGUAUGCUUAGAGUAUACAAAUAGAUCUUCCAGUUUCUUUUUUUUUUUUUUUUUUUUUUUUUUUGAAUAAUGAUUUUCCAGUUUCUAAUUUCAUGUUUUUGAUAAUUUCUUAGGCUUUUUGUUUGUUGCUCUGAUACUCCGUAUCUUGCUUAGGGAAGUAUCAAUUAUUGACAAGUAUACUUUUCACACAGGUCAGAAAAAGACUUGGAUUUUAUGCUUGCUUCAUUUAGCGAUCACCAAAUUUAAUAUCACUUCUGAAGGUACCUUAGUGGCUGUAUAUGUGUCAUAUUAGUGGUUUUGUAUGGAUUUAUUUCGUGAAAUUAAUCAGUUUGAACCUUUAUAAUUAUUGAUUGUUGCCUCUUUGAUUGUUUAAGUUGUUAUUAUUAUGAUAUUUGGAUGAAAAAUCUCGAUAUUUGAUGUUGUUUUGUCAAUUUGUUGAUAUAAUUUAUGUGGGAAAAUUUGUCCAGAGCUUAUUAUUAAAUUUUGUAUCUUUGAUUGUUUUAGUUGCUAUUAAUUGAUAUUUAGAUGAAUUAGGAGUCGAUUUUAGGAGACGAUAAAGUUGGAGUGUUAGGUAAUGAAAUGCUUAAUAUGGAAAGUAUUUUCUUGUUAUUUUUCUCCAUAAUUCACGAUUUGAUGAAUUCUCAUUUAUAUUCUAUGUUUUAGAAAUAUGGGAUUCUAAAACUUUUUGUUUUGAGUUUGCAAGCAUAGCUGCUGUUUGGGACUGAAAUUAUGCUGUUGAUCGACUUGGUCCCCUGCAACCGACUUGAGUUCAUUCGGGUUGUGGUGUUUUUUUGUGUGUUUGGUCUUGAGGAUAUAGAUAUUUUCUUCUCUUCCCAUUCAUGUACUCCUGCCAUUCAGUGUGUCAGGUUUAUAGUUCUGUAUAUUUAGGUGUUUGCGAUUGCUUGUUUGAUCAGUGGUUUUGGUGCGCGGUGCUUCAUGAUUGUAGCUUUUCAAUCAUUCUACAAAAAAGUAGAUUUCAUUAGCAUGUGUCGUUGUAGCAUGUUAUUAAAUUUGUAUCUUUGAUUGUUAUAGUUGCUAUUAAAUUUGUAUCUUUGAUUUUUGUAGGUUCUAUUAAUUGAAAUUUCACAAUUAAUCCUGCUUUUUUUUCGUAUUCUAUAUCUUGAUGCAAGUUUUUGGUGUUUUGAUUAUAAAAUUUGUGGAUGAAAGGAUUUGGGUGUUACAUAUUCUGUCGAAUUUAGCUGGUUUUGUUUUAUUUUAGGCUUAAAGAUUGUUGCUUUUUAAUAUGAUCUGGAUCAUGUUUAUUUUGCCUUACUUCGAGUAUUUGAUUGGUUAUAUAUGGUUGAAUUUGCUUUUUAUUGGAAAUAUUCUGUGGUGCUAAUUGUAAGGGGUCAAAAUCAAAUUAGUUUUCUGAUAAUUUUGACAUUUGAUGAUGAUAUUUUUGUAUUCUGCUGUUGUGAUUGAUUCUUUGUUAUUAUGCAUUAUUAUUGAUGCUGCUGCGAUAUGCCUAUGUGGUGUGAUUGUGAGAUUUGAUUAUUUCUAAAUACAAUGCUGAUGUGAUGUGCCUAUGUGGUGCCGAUGUGUCUUAUGUUUCUUAAUUUUGAGUUUUGGUGAAAGAAGGGAUCCUUAAGUAUGAUAUGCAUUUCUCUUGGUGCACUUGUGUUAAUUGCUAAUUUAAGCUACUUGCUUUUACUGCCCUUGCUGCCUGGUUUUGAUAUUAUGAUAUAUAUAUAUAUAUAUAUACAUUUAAUUAUGUGCUACAAAUACUUGGCACUUUAAAAGAGAUAAAGCACUCCCUCAUGAGCAUGUUUGAAUUUGAGGUGCCAGCUUUUUAUUCCCUUUCCUUUUUUUUUUUUGGUUUUUGUGUUGACUAGACAGUCAUUUAAGUUCAUAAUAAUGGAGUUUCCCAAUCUAGGACAAGAAAAGGAGGGUGGGGUGAACCAUAUGAAUGUAGAGAGUAAAAUUUCAGUUUGUGUGUGUAAAUUCUACUUAGCUGUGUUUAUUGCAAUAUGCAUGCAUUCUGUAUCAUGCUACCUUUAUUGUGAGUGUGGUGUAGUAAGGACUGUAUACGAAGUAUAUAUUAAGAUCUGUUGCUUGAACAAGCUUGCAGGUCCACAAAGAGGGACAAUUGCAUUUAUCGCUUGAUUGGAGUGGUGGAGCAUUCUAGAUCAAUGUCAGAGGAGGUGACAAAAGAGAAAAUAUACGAAGACUAUUGGAAGAUUUUAUCUAUACGCAAGGUUGCUGCUGCCUCGUAAGGCUGCUGCAGCUGCUGCCUCGCCAAGGCUGUUUCAUUGGUGUGACUUUGCUUGUAUUUAACAGUGACUAGUAUUUUUUUUAAGUUUUUUGGACCAAAAUUGUAAUAUUAUAGCCUUUUUUAAUGAAAAUAUGUAAGUAUAUAUAUAUGUUA
Chenopodium quinoa (quinoa) is the source of this 3917-nucleotide long non-coding RNA. RefSeq lists it as uncharacterized. The record is from RefSeq and is a predicted model, not a curated record. The transcript is spliced from 4 exons. NCBI's taxonomy places the organism in Eukaryota, Viridiplantae, Streptophyta, Magnoliopsida, Caryophyllales, Amaranthaceae.